RNAcentral lists this ribosomal RNA (460 nucleotides) under uncultured bacterium. Its description in RNAcentral is "partial 16S ribosomal RNA". It matches the Rfam family "Bacterial small subunit ribosomal RNA", at positions 338 to 795 of the family's 1533-position model. The record is from RNAcentral.
CCUACGGGGGGCAGCAGUGAGGAAUAUUGGUCAAUGGGCUUACGCCUGAACCAGCCAAGUCGCGUGAGGGAAGACUGCCCUAUGGGUUGUAAACCUCUUUUGUCAGGGAGCAACGCCGGCUACGUGUAGCCGGACUGAGAGUACCUGAAGAAAAAGCAUCGGCUAACUACGUGACAGCAGCCGCGGGAAUACGGAGGAUGCGAGCUUUAUCCGGAUUUAUUGGGUUUAAAUGGAGCGCAGGCGGAAGACCAAGUCAGCGGUAAUAUUGAGGGGCUCAACCUCUACGAGCCGUUGAAACUGGUUUUCUUGAGUGAGCGAGAAGGAUGCGGAAUGCGUGGUGUAGCGGUGAAAUGCAUAGAUAUCACGCAGAACUCCGAUUGCGAAGGCAGCAUACCGGCGCUCAACUGACGCUCAUGCACGAAAGUGUGGGUAUCGAACAGGAUUAGAUACCCUGGUAGUC